GCCACUGCUGUUGGGGUUCGGCUAAGCCAUGCGAGUGGAGGGCGCGGUCGAAAGAUCGUGGCCCCGCACACGGCUCAGUAACACGUCGUCAACCCACCUUAGGGUGGGGGACAACCUCGGGAAACUGAGGAUAAUCCCCCAUAGGCGGGGGAGGCUGGAAUGCGCCCCCGCCGAAAGCUCAGGCGCCCUAGGACGGGACGGCGGCCUAUCAGGUAGUUGGUGGUGUGACG
RNAcentral lists this ribosomal RNA (230 nucleotides) under uncultured archaeon. RNAcentral's name for it is "partial 16S ribosomal RNA". It matches the Rfam family "Archaeal small subunit ribosomal RNA", at positions 23 to 246 of the family's 1478-position model. The record is from RNAcentral.